CUGGCAGGCAUUCUACCAACGCACGAUGAAUGAAUUCACAAAUGAUUGACUCAGCCUGCGCCAUCGUGUGUGUGUACGUGUGUGUCUGGAAGGUGAAAAUGGGCUGGGCCUGGGCCAGCCAAGGCCAGUUUAGCCCCAGGGAAGCGUUAGGUAAGCUUCCAUGGCAACACAGUUCAGUGUGUGUUUUCUGUGCUCCCAACAGAAUUCCAGGCUGAGCGCGUCUAUUCCCCAAGGCCUCGCUGCCUCCUUCCUUGUCUCCCCAGGUCUCCCGGAAACUAUGAAGCAAGCAGCAUCUCCAUCUUAGAGCUGAAGCAACAGCCUCCAGGUUAAGCAUAGCUGGCACUCAAGCAGUAGAAAAUGGGAGAGACAGAACCAGACCCUGUCUGCCUCCGAAGGCGAGCCUCGCU
This 407-nucleotide long non-coding RNA is filed under the name Equus asinus (donkey). Its description in RNAcentral is "lncRNA (ENSEASG00005038438.1, ENSEASG00020038345.1)". Lineage: Eukaryota; Metazoa; Chordata; Mammalia; Perissodactyla; Equidae. The record is from RNAcentral.